This 779-nucleotide long non-coding RNA is filed under the name Danio rerio (zebrafish). Its description in RNAcentral is "si:ch1073-291l11.2 (ENSDARG00000095477.4)". Lineage: Eukaryota; Metazoa; Chordata; Actinopteri; Cypriniformes; Danionidae. The record is from RNAcentral.
UGGAUCAUGGAUGUGCUAAUGGAUGACACGGAUGACAAGGAAAGUGCCAUCGUACAUGCUCUGGGUGUCUUGAGGAGCUUGUCUUUGGAUGAUGCUGAGCAGGUCUUUCUUUCUGGUAAAGAUUAUCAUUACAGUGAAGUAAAAGAAUUUAACAGACAAACAACUGACGAAAGAAGAGAGACCAUUCAAUAGUGGAUGCCCUUCCAGCCGCAACCCAGUACUGGGAAACACCCAUUUACACUCAUAGUGUACACUUGAACACGGGGAGAACAUGCAAAUUCUACACAGAAAGGACCACUGGCCCAGCCGGGGCUUGAACCAGCAACCUUCUUGCUGUGAGGCGACGGUGCUAACCACUGUGCUGCCCUAUGUGCUCUAUGCGGGUGAGUGGGAUUGACAAACCACCUGGAGGACACACUCUUGCUGUCUUAAUGCACCAGACAUUUUGUUAUAAAUAAUCAUGUGCGUUUCAUGUUUAUUCAUAUAACUACUAUUUUAUGUCAUAGCACUUCAUUUUUGUCUUGAUAUUUAAUAUGUCUUGUUUAAAUACACUAUGAACAGCAGCUGCGCUAAUUAAUUUCCUUGUUCCCUAUUUCCACCUGGGGAUAUUCAUCCCUAGGCCUCUAGAGAUCGUGACCUGUGAAGAGAUGAUGCCACCAUAGAGGACUUCUAAAUGUAUCCAUAAUCCUGAAACAGACCGUAUCAUGAGCAGAUGCUGUGGUGGUCAUGGAGGAGUAGAGAGCAUGAGACUGAUUAAUGAAAGACCCCAGUGACAGAUG